Long non-coding RNA from Acanthopagrus latus (yellowfin seabream), 447 nucleotides. RefSeq lists it as uncharacterized. Lineage: Eukaryota; Metazoa; Chordata; Actinopteri; Spariformes; Sparidae. The transcript has 3 exons. The record is from RefSeq and is a predicted model, not a curated record.
UGUUUUGUGUGUGUUUAAGCAGCUGUGUAUUUCGUCCUGCAUUAUAGAUGACUGACGCAGCGCACAUAUCAUAUCUGAACCUCAACACUCAAAAUUCCUGCUGAUUCCCGUGUUUCCUCCUGCACCACGAAAAAAUAUGUUCACAACCUCCUCGGUUCUGUCUCAGGAAGACUCCCGCAUGGUUUUGUACAGUAAAUUCUGAAAGGUUGAGCUCUUGCAUCUGGUGUUGGACUAGGCCAAAUUGAGCUGAGCUGUGCUGGCAAUGGACCUGCUCCAAGCGCCGCCCCGCCUCCAAGCGAGCCGUGGUGACGUCUCGGGACUUUGGCCAACCCACAGCGAACACCUGUCUCCCCCUCAAACCGUUACAGAGCUCACGUCUGUGCAGGACACCUGAGAAGAAAGAUGCUUUUAAAAAGAGUCGUGUUUCGUGACUGCUGCUGAAAACAC